UACGUAUGGAGCAAGCGUUAUCCGGAUUUACUGGGUGUAAAGGGAGUGUAGGUGGCCAGGCAAGUCGGAAGUGAAAGCCCGGGGCUCAACCCCGGGACUGCUUUUGAAACUGCAGGGCUAGAGUGCAGGAGGGGCAAGUGGAAUUCCUAGUGUAGCGGUGAAAUGCGUAGAUAUUAGGAGGAACACCAGUGGCGAAGGCGGCUUGCUGGACUGUAACUGACACUGAGGCUCGAAAGCGUGGGGAGCAAACAGG
Molecule: ribosomal RNA, 253 nt
Filed under: [Lactobacillus] rogosae
Lineage: Bacteria; Bacillati; Bacillota; Clostridia; Lachnospirales; Lachnospiraceae
Description: Lactobacillus rogosae partial 16S ribosomal RNA
Rfam family: Bacterial small subunit ribosomal RNA
Source: RNAcentral